GUCAUAGAUGAACUCUUGGAUGAACUGCAUGGGGCACAGUGGUUUACCAAGCUGGAUCUCAGGGCUGGUUACCACCAAAUAAGAUUAGCCCCUGGAGAAGAAUACAAAACAGCUUUUCAAACCCAUCAUGGACACUUUGAAUUUUUGGUGGUGGGUUUUGGUCUGACAGGAGCACCAAAUACUUUUCAAGGGGCCAUAAAUGUAUCCUUAUCAGAGGAACCUGAAAUGUUGAGGCAUUUUGUGAUAGCUUUCUUUGGUGACAUCCUUGUUUUCAGUAAAACACUGGAACGACACUUAGAACAUGUCAGAAGAGUGUUGCAGGUACUGAGAAGGGAUAAAUGGUAUGUGAAGCUAUCCAAGUGUGAAUUUUCUUCU
This 375-nucleotide ribosomal RNA is filed under the name Triticum aestivum (bread wheat). RNAcentral describes it as "partial small subunit ribosomal RNA". Lineage: Eukaryota; Viridiplantae; Streptophyta; Magnoliopsida; Poales; Poaceae. The record is from RNAcentral.